GAUCCUGGCUCAGGAUGAACGCUAGCGGCAGGCCUAACACAUGCAAGUCGAGGGGCAUCACGAGGUAGCAAUACUUUGGUGGCGACCGGCGCACGGGUGCGUAACGCGUAUGUAACCUACCUAUAACAGGGGCAUAACACUGAGAAAUUGGUACUAAUUCCCCAUAAUAUUCGGAGAGGCAUCUCUCCGGGUUGAAAACUCCGGUGGUUAGUAGAUAGGACGAUGCGUUGUAUUAGCUAGUUGGUGG
RNAcentral lists this ribosomal RNA (247 nucleotides) under uncultured bacterium. Its description in RNAcentral is "partial 16S ribosomal RNA". It matches the Rfam family "Bacterial small subunit ribosomal RNA", at positions 15 to 255 of the family's 1533-position model. The record is from RNAcentral.